RNAcentral lists this long non-coding RNA (377 nucleotides) under Androctonus crassicauda. Lineage: Eukaryota; Metazoa; Arthropoda; Arachnida; Scorpiones; Buthidae. The record is from RNAcentral.
ACCAACCCAACCUUAUAUCAUUAAUCAUCUGUACAGCUUUUUCAAAAAUUAUGAGGCUGUUCCCAGAAAUUACAGCAGUAUUCGUCCUGAUAAAAAAGCUAGAGAUUCUACAGUGAUAGAUAUAAGAGAACUGUUAUACAAAAAUGCUGAUACAAUGUGUAAACUGUGACAUACAGAAAGCUGAAUUCUACUUCCACAAAGAAAAAAGUCAGAUUUAUACGAAUCACCAAAAGCAUUAUACAUGGAACCUAGAAAAAUUGAAAAAAGCAAGUUUGAAAAAUCUUCAGUCCCUUAAACCAUAUAUGCAUAAAGAUUAUCAUCACUUUUAUGAUAACCUUUCUUUUUAAUACAUUGUUUUUACUUUAUUGCCAUUACAG